AUUCACUUUUCUCUUUUUGUAUUUAAUUUCUAACCAAUUUUUUUAUCAAUUAAUAUCAAUUUUAGCCAUAUUUUUUAUUAAUUCUUUUUUUACACAGCCUAAACUUUAAACUCAAAUUUUAAUCUCAGCCAUUGAUGAAAAUUAAUCUAAUGGCUGAGAUUAAACAAACCUUUUCUUUCCUUUUUUAACAAAAGGGAACCCUACCCUCAUUUUCUCUCCCUCACAGCCACACUCCCUUCUCUUUUUUUCUCUCUCUUCUCUCAUCCUUUCUCUUUCUCCCUAAACUUCCACCAUGCCUGUCGCCGCUGGAGUAGUCAACCGGACAGUCGGCGACCCUCCUUACCCUCUCUCAUAUCGUUGCCUUACCACUACCAACGAAAACAACAAUAGUCCAACCAAACUCUAAGCGUCGACUAGUCCCCGUUCAGUCACUGCCGCCGCAUCAUCUAGUCCAACAAACCGGCCAGCUGCUGAUAAGUCUCACCAGUCAAUACCGCUACCACCACCUUUAUUUCCUUUAAUUUUCAUCUCCACUAGCCAACCGAUGUUGGGGUUUUUGAUGAACUUUACUGAGAUUUUGGCCCGAUUUGAUUUCUUAAUACUUUCAAUUGUAUGUUUGUUUGCUUUGUUUGUGAAUUACCUGAAUCUGAUUCUUAGAUUAAAAAUACGUGACUUUUACUUUGAGUUUUGAUUCUAUUUCUUUAAUUAGGUGUUUGUUUAUGCCUCUGGGUUGAUAUAUGUAAAAAGCCCCAAAUUUUAUGAACUUUGAUUAAACCCUAAAGUUUUACUAGCUGAUGUUUCAGUGAUUUUACGAUUCUGGACGACCUUAUUAUUGGUUGUCAAUAUUUUGAUGCAUAAUUAGUGAUAUUGAGCUGCU
This 877-nucleotide long non-coding RNA is filed under the name Capsicum annuum. RNAcentral describes it as "long non-coding RNA (CANN_LNC002080)". The record is from RNAcentral. Lineage: Eukaryota; Viridiplantae; Streptophyta; Magnoliopsida; Solanales; Solanaceae.